Pseudonaja textilis is the source of this 882-nucleotide non-coding RNA. NCBI's taxonomy places the organism in Eukaryota, Metazoa, Chordata, Lepidosauria, Squamata, Elapidae. The record is from RefSeq and is a predicted model, not a curated record.
UAGGUAGAUUUAUAAUCAGUAUUUUAAUAUUAAAUAUUGACUAACUGACAACUCAAAAUUACAGAGUUUAGCAGGUAUUUUGGGGGAGGAUGUUGAGAAGACAGUUAACACAAUCAGAUCAAAACCCAUUAUUACAGUCAUAGACCAGCAUAAGAAGAAUGGGGAUAUAAACAAUUAGUAAUUUUAAAAGCUAAAAAGUUUAAAACACUCCAGAUUUAAAAUUUCUGGUUUUUUUUCAGAUAACAUAAAUCUUUUGCAGUUAUAUUUUUUGAAGGAUUCUGACAUGAAGCUUGACUCACUUUGGAUUUUCAAAAUGUUACAGUCAUUUUGGAUUGAGGUAUUUUGUUUAGUCCUUAAAUUACAAAUGUGUCUAAUUGUGUAUUUUCUCUUCAUUUGAUUUCCUUUACAAUGUCUUGGUUGAACUGUUAGAAAUGCUGAAAAUAUGAAAGAUAUGGCAGGAAGAGAAGCAGAAUUUGAAACAUAUGUGCAGAUAUGUUAUAUAAAAGCCAGAAAUAACUAUUCUUAAUCUCAUUUUACUAAUACAAAUCAUCGUCCUGUACCAAGGAGAGAGUGGAAUUAUGUGCAGUGAAAGAUCACCAGGGAGACUCUUAUUUAACAAAUUCCAUGCCUGAAAACAGGAUAGCAUCUUGAAUUCAGCACACCUACUCAGACCUACAAUGGAUGUCGAAAUUCUACACCCCCCUGAUUGUGAAAGUUGUUUUACUUGUUCCUCAUUGAAGGCCAGAGGGAUGCAAAUGGACCAGAGGGAGCAAACAAGAUGCUACAUGGACAAAAUCAUGAUUUAGUUGAGAUGCCAAGAUUGAAUCCAAGCUAAGAAGGAAACUCUUUUAUGUGUUAUAUGGGCCAUUAUAAAUUAAUAGU